UUGGUUGACCGCCACGUAUCCGCUCACGGGCUUUGUGGUGGUCGUAAUCUACUUUUGUAGGAGUGAAUAGUGGCCCGUAUAGCUGGCAUUAACAUUCCUGAC
Molecule: non-coding RNA, 102 nt
Organism: Aeromonas sp.
Lineage: Bacteria; Pseudomonadati; Pseudomonadota; Gammaproteobacteria; Aeromonadales; Aeromonadaceae
Source: Rfam